This 506-nucleotide ribosomal RNA is filed under the name uncultured bacterium. RNAcentral describes it as "partial 16S ribosomal RNA". It matches the Rfam family "Bacterial small subunit ribosomal RNA", at positions 29 to 523 of the family's 1533-position model. The record is from RNAcentral.
AGUGAACGCUGGCGGUAGGCCUAACACAUGCAAGUCGAACGGCAGCACAGGAGAGCUUGCUCUCUGGGUGGCGAGUGGCGGACGGGUGAGGAAUACAUCGGAAUCUACUCUGUCGUGGGGGAUAACGUAGGGAAACUUACGCUAAUACCGCAUACGACCUACGGGUGAAAGCAGGGGACCUUCGGGCCUUGCGCGAUUGAAUGAGCCGAUGUCGGAUUAGCUAGUUGGCGGGGUAAAGGCCCACCAAGGCGACGAUCCGUAGCUGGUCUGAGGGGAUGAUCAGCCACACUGGAACUGAGACAUGGUCCAGACUCCUACGGGAGGCAGCAGUGGGGAAUAUUGGACAAUGGGCGCAAGCCUGAUCCAGCCAUACCGCGUGGGUGAAGAAGGCCUUCGGGUUGUAAAGCCCUUUAGUUGGGAAAGAAAUCCAGCUGGCUAAUACCCGGUUGGGAUGACGGUACCCAAAGAAUAAGCACCGGCUAACUUCGUGCCAGCCGCCGCCGUAA